RNAcentral lists this ribosomal RNA (303 nucleotides) under Triticum aestivum (bread wheat). RNAcentral describes it as "partial small subunit ribosomal RNA". Lineage: Eukaryota; Viridiplantae; Streptophyta; Magnoliopsida; Poales; Poaceae. The record is from RNAcentral.
AUGGUCGAACAAUGCCAAACUGAAAGUAACAACGAUGCUGGCACUCGUUCAUUUAUAGUUCCAUAUAGAAGAUGCAAAAGGCUGGAACUUCAUGCCUUGACGUGUAACAUACUGCAACUUAAUGCUGCUUGUCAGUAUGGAACACCACGGGUAGUUAGCGCUUGUGUUUUGCUCAUGCUCCUGGCAAAUCCUUUUGGUUCAGAAAGCUUAUGUGUUCUGGUAUGCUCCUUGGUAUAUUUCAGAGUGACUAGUUUCUACUCAUUCCUGUUUCUGUCUUUAAGAAUAGUUUGGAAACUUAAAUGA